CGCGGCGCUGCUCCGUGCAGCGGGCAGAUCCUGCAGGAGGGCUGCAGUGAGGGCAGUGCUGUCCUUGUCCCAUGCGCAGCCCCGCGGGGCCCUUCGCUCUGAGCAGCAUGACGGCAGGACAAGCGAUUUCUGUUCUUUCCCAAAACAAAACCGAAAGGGAUCAGAAACCGGAACGCAGCAGUCCCUGCCCACGUGCCGCCGUCCCCCGGCGCGCUGCCGGCGCCUCUCCUGCCUUUGUCCGACAGGGCGCAGCACAGCCCGCACCUCACCCCGCACCCUCCGCUCCGUGCGGGACGGACGGCCCGGGGUUUUACCUUUUCCUCCCAGGAGGUUUCUAAGAUCCCACCCGUGGCCUCGGGGCGCAAGGAUGGGCUGCGGGAGCGGAGGGCUCGGGCUAAAGGAGGACUGAGCUCGGCGCAGGGGGAAGAGAUGGAGACGCCCCGAGCGGUGCGGGACGCGGGGCUGUGUGCGGGACGCGGGGCUCCGCUUCCCCCCGGCAGUCCGGCGCCGCUCCGAGCCCUUCUCGCGCCCCGCACCGCGGCUCCGUGGCCGCACCGCCCCCGGCGUGGGGAGGCGAUCACCGCCACGCGCCCCACGGCCGCCGCCCGUCCCGGCGGAGCAGCCCACGGCCGCUGCGUCACGACGGGGCUCUCCGGAGCGCGGCAACGGCGGAACCGCGCACGGCCGGACGCCCGCGGCCCCACCGGCUCCGGCUGCCCCCAUCCACGGCCCCGCACACCCGCAGGGCUGCCGCCCACAGCCCCGUCCCGCGGGAAGGGCCCCCGAUCCCCGCGGCGCUGACUCAGAGCCCGACCCGCCCAGGGACGCGUUCCGCUCCGUGGGGACGCGACGCGCGGAGCCGCGCGACGGCGGUGGGAGCGCGGAUCCAUCCGACCCCGCACCGCACCGCGCCCCGCCCGUACCUCGCGUCCGCCGCCGGGGCCCCCUCGGCCGCCGGGGCCGCGGCCAUAGCGCUGCCGGGAGAGGCCGGGCGGGACGUGCGGAGCGGGGCCGGGAGGGGCGGAGCCGCCGCGGGGAUCUCCGGGACUUGUAGUGCGGGCGGGGCGGGGACGGGAGGGUGCCGCGGGUGUGCGGAGGGGCUCCGGUGGGGGCUCCGGACACGCGGGUGGAGCCGGGGAUGCAGAUGUGCGCCCUCCCGCCUGGGAGCCCCUCAGAAUCACAGCAUCGUAGAACGGCCCGGGUCGCAAAGGACCGCAAUGCUCAUCCCGUUCCAACCCCUGCUGCGUGCGGGGUCGCCCACCAGCAGCCCCAGGCUGCCCACGGCCGCAUCCAGCCUGGCCUUGAAUGCCCGCAGGGAUGGGGCGUCCACAGCCUCCUUGGGCAGGGCUCCUCCGGGCAGACAUCGGGAUAAUUCAGCGCUCAAAGCAGAGGGACCGCGAGGGAGAAAACCCAACUCGCGAAGCUCCACCCCAUCACAGAUGUCGUCGCCCACCGAACGGCCCAACGACGACGACGACGAGCACGAUAAAAAAUCAAUAAACAUUUAUUCGAUACAGCUGCUUUCCAUACAUACAGUACAUGGAGCGAUCCCUCCCCGGCGCUGUGGCUGCGCGCUGCUGUACUCCCCAGCUGAGGAUUUGUCCAUGGUUAACAAAAGAACGGAUCGGCACAGAUCGGAGCUCAUUAUCAGAUAGUUUACUGUUUAAAACCAUUUUUUUUUCCUUUUUUUUUUUUUUUUUUUUGCAAAUAAACACUUUUUUUUUAAUAUAUAUAUUUAUAUAUUUAUAUAUAUAUGGUUACAAGUGAUAAAUUGAAAAUUCUUAAUUUUUUAAUUUCCCUCCCCCCCCCGCCCUCCCCCUCCCCCCCCUCCCCCCAAUUACACUUAAUGCACUGAUAACUGGCAGCGACGAGAGACGGUCCGGGUGUGCCGUGGGAUGGGGGUCGCGAGGAGAGUAAGGAAGGAGCAGAAGGGGCCCAGCGCGGAUGGGCGGAGGGGGGCAGUGCUGCUGGGGGGCCCUGGGGAGCAGGGCUAUGGCACCAUGGGGGUGGGGGGCUCCUUCCUGCCCCCCCUGUGCUGUCAGUGCUCCAUGGGGUGGGUGCCGCCGGAGCCCUUGCUGGGGUGGGCUCUGUGGAGGGAUGGGUCCCAGCCCCACGCACGCAGGUGCAGCCCUUAUCCUGAGUGAUGUGCGGCUGCGGGAGGUGUGAAGAUGAGUUUCGGUGGUGCUGCACGUGUAGGAUGUGGGGCUGUGG
Molecule: long non-coding RNA, 2211 nt
Filed under: Gallus gallus (chicken)
Lineage: Eukaryota; Metazoa; Chordata; Aves; Galliformes; Phasianidae
Source: RNAcentral